CCUACGGGUGGCAGCAGUGGGGAAUAUUGGGCAAUGGAGGCAACUCUGACCCAGUAAUGCCGCGUGAGUGAUGAAGGUAAUUUUAUUGUAAAGCUCUUUUCUUUGGAACGAAUAAAUGACGGUACCAAAGGAAUAAGCACCGGCUAACUACGUGCCAGCAGCCGCGGUAAUACGUAGGGGGCAAGCGGUGUUCGAAAUGACUGGGCGUAAAGGGUGGGUAGGUGGGUUGGUAAGUUAGAUGUGUAAUACCCAGGUCUUAACUAGGGUGCUGACUCUAAAACUGUUAGACUAGAGUACUGGAGAGGAUAGUGGAAUGCCUAGUGUAGCGGUGGAAUGCGUAGAUAUUAGGAGGAACAUCAGUGGCGAAGGCGACUAUCUGGACAGCAACUGACACUGAGGCACGAAAGCGUGGGGAGCAAACAGGAUUAGAUACCCGAGUAGUC
This 443-nucleotide ribosomal RNA is filed under the name uncultured bacterium. RNAcentral's name for it is "partial 16S ribosomal RNA". It matches the Rfam family "Bacterial small subunit ribosomal RNA", at positions 338 to 795 of the family's 1533-position model. The record is from RNAcentral.